RNAcentral lists this ribosomal RNA (468 nucleotides) under uncultured bacterium. RNAcentral describes it as "partial 16S ribosomal RNA". It matches the Rfam family "Bacterial small subunit ribosomal RNA", at positions 28 to 507 of the family's 1533-position model. The record is from RNAcentral.
GACGAACGCUGGCGGCGUGCUUAACACAUGCAAGUCGAACGGAAAGGCCCUGCUUUUGUGGGGUGCUCGAGUGGCGAACGGGUGAGUAACACGUGAGUAACCUGCCCUUGACUUUGGGAUAACUUCAGGAAACUGGGGCUAAUACCGGAUAGGAGCUCCUACUGCAUGGUGUGGGUUGGAAAGUUUCGGCGGUUGUGGAUGGACUCGCGGCUUAUCAGCUUGUUGGUGGGGUAGUGGCUUACCAAGGCUUUGACGGGUAGCCGGCCUGAGAGGGUGACCGGGCACAUUGGGACUGAGAGACGGAGCAGACUCAUACGGGAGGCAGCAGUGGAGAAUAUUGCACAAUGGGCGGAAGCGUGAUGCAGCAACGCCGGGUGCGGGAUGACGGCCUUCGGGUUGUAAACAGAUGUCGCAGGUGACGAAGCGUGAGUGACGGUAAUGGGUAAAGAAGCAACGGCUAACUACGUG